CCUGGUCCAGGCCAAGCAACCGUCGACGCCCCAUCCUCCACUGAGUUCGCCAUUCCCAAGCCUGCCCCUGUCCCCCCUCCUCCCUCCGCCCGAUCGAUCUCCUCCACCAAUACGCUGGAAUCGAGAUCAGCGACGCCGUCGAUGAUAGUGGCAGCAGGCCAGCCGGGAAGCCCAAGGGCGGCGAUGCGGCCGUCGCCAAGCGAUCCAGCAAGGGGAAGGAUGACGGGAUGACUCCAAGCGAUGGCCAACAGAUGAAGGACCGCGUGCAGUCUAGGGCCUCACCACUAAAAUUGCGGUGGUCGCUCGAAAAGGAAGAGGAUUCGGCGCACAGAUCGAGGAACAGGACGGUUGCAAGUCGGAGAGUAAGAGGCCAACUAGGCGGAUACUCUUCGCACUCCUCGGUACAAACUACAGAGCCCUCCACGAAACAGUCCUCUUCUACUGUGCCCAGCAGCGAUCAACAAUAAUCUGGAGGGCGCACAAGUACCUCGAGUCCCAGAUCAUCCCCACGGUCUUAGUUCAGAAAGAGGUCAUGAGAAUAAAAAUCACCACAUACAAGGCUUUGAAAAGAACUGCCCGGCGUUCUUAGCGACAAUGCAUGGAAUCCAAUGCUUCUAACAAAAUGUCCAGAAAAAAUUGCAUAUGGAGACAAUGUCACACAUCGAGAAAGAAUCAGUACCGGCAAACAUGAUGGUUUGGUUGACAAAAUGUUGUUUCUUUUUCCCCGCCGGUGAAGCAGUUAAGCAGGUCUUGCCAAGAGGAUUAACAACGUUGAUUCUGCAAGUGCUUGGAUAUAACGGGGUAUCAGUUCUCUACUUUUUACGUGUUUGUUUAUUUUCUUUGUGAAACCUUAGCAUGCACUAGCUUAGUCAAAAGCCGCGCAGAAUAAUAUAUGCUCUUUCUUUCAGUACAGAUCCAACAACGCCUUACUAGAUUUUAUGUUAUGUAACUCUGUAUGUUCUAGCAGAGAGGCACCCAAAGGAGAGAAGUAGAAGUCAAGUGAGAACAUAAUACUGAUUCUAAGGCCGCUGAGGCAAUCAGCCCUGGAGAAAGCUUUGUCAACAUUUGGAAAGGGAAAGAAGGCCACGAGCGGUACAAUAUCAGGUCUAUAGUCACCUGUGUAGAUUGGGCCGUCAGAUCCUGAAGAUGACCAGGAACAGUGUGUUUGAGAUAUGUAGGCCAAUGUCCGGAAUAUUUCAAAAGUCAGUCCAAACCCCAAGAGCCAUCUUCAAUUUGAACUAAAACGAGAAAGUUUUUCGUUUGCUAGAUGUCAUGAAAAUCAACACUGGAGUAAGCAUUGGCAGUACCUCAAUAUAUCGUUAGGUUUUCUGACGCAAGAUUCAGCAUAUGUGUAUUGAUUCAGUUAGCGUCAUGGGGAAUGCUUCGUUUUUUUGAAGUUAA
Molecule: long non-coding RNA, 1401 nt
Organism: Lolium rigidum
Lineage: Eukaryota; Viridiplantae; Streptophyta; Magnoliopsida; Poales; Poaceae
Exons: 4
Source: RefSeq, a predicted model, not a curated record